This is a non-coding RNA of Paramarasmius palmivorus, 94 nucleotides long. Lineage: Eukaryota; Fungi; Basidiomycota; Agaricomycetes; Agaricales; Marasmiaceae. The record is from the annotation of a GenBank genome assembly.
GGGGAUAUAGCUCAGCUGGGAGAGCAGCAGACUGAAGUUUCCGAAAUGUUUCCAUUGGUUCUGAAGGUCCCGCGUUCGAUCCGCGGUAUCCCCA